This 430-nucleotide ribosomal RNA is filed under the name uncultured marine bacterium 311. Its description in RNAcentral is "bacterial SSU rRNA". It matches the Rfam family "Bacterial small subunit ribosomal RNA", at positions 1095 to 1525 of the family's 1533-position model. The record is from RNAcentral.
AGCGCACCCCUAUCCUUAUUUGCCAGCGCAUAAUGGCGGGAACUAUAAGGAGACUGCCGGUCAUAAACCGGAGGAAGGCGGGGACGACGUCAAGUCAUCAUGGCCCUUAUGGGUAGGGCUACACACGUGAUACAAUGGGUGGUACAGAGGGUCGCCAAAGCGCGAGCUGGAGCCAAACCCUUAAAACCAUUCUUAGUCCGGAUUGGAGUCUGCAACUCGACUCCAUGAAGUCGGAAUCGCUAGUAAUCGCGAAUCAGAAUGUCGCGGUGAAUACGUUCUCGGGCCUUGUACACACCGCCCGUCACGUCAUGGAAGUGGGUUGCACCAGAAGUGGCUUGUUUAACCUUCGGGAAAACGGUCACCACGGUGUGAUUCACCACUGGGACGAAGUCGUAACAAGGUAGCCCUAGGGGAACCUGGGGCUGGAUCA